RNAcentral lists this ribosomal RNA (441 nucleotides) under uncultured bacterium. RNAcentral's name for it is "bacterial SSU rRNA". It matches the Rfam family "Bacterial small subunit ribosomal RNA", at positions 337 to 795 of the family's 1533-position model. The record is from RNAcentral.
UCCUACGGGUGGCUGCAGUAACGAAUCUUCCGCAAUGCACGCAAGUGUGACGGAGCGACGCCGCGUGUGGGACGAAGCCCUUCGGGGUGUAAACCACUGUCAGGGGAAAGAAAGUUCUGAUCUACCCCAGAGGAAGGCACGGCUAACUCUGUGCCAGCAGCCGCGGUAAUACAGAGGUGCCGAGCGUUAGGCGGAAUCACUGGGCUUAAAGCGUGUGUAGGCGGACUUCUAAGUACCUUGUGAAAUCCCACGGCUCACCCGUGGAACUGCUGGGUAUACUGGUCGUCUUGAGCCACCUAGGGGCCAGCGGAACAAAUGGUGGAGCGGUGAAAUGCGUAGAUAUCAUUUGGAACGCCAACGGUGAAAACAGCUGGCUGGGGGUGUGCUGACGCUGAGACACGAAAGCCAGGGGAGCGAACGGGAUUAGAUACCCCAGUAGUC